This 454-nucleotide ribosomal RNA is filed under the name uncultured bacterium. RNAcentral describes it as "bacterial SSU rRNA". It matches the Rfam family "Bacterial small subunit ribosomal RNA", at positions 28 to 524 of the family's 1533-position model. The record is from RNAcentral.
GAUAAACGCUGGCGGCGUGCCUAACACAUGCAAGUCGAACGAUCCCGCAAGGGAGAGUGGCGGAAGGGUGAGUAACACGUGGGAAUCUACCUCCUCGCAGGGAACAACCUCUCGAAAGAGAGGCUAAUACCCAAAGGGUCAGAAAUGAUCAGAGUCGAAAGGCGUGAGGAGAGGAGCCCGCGGCCCAUCAGCUAGUUGGUGAGGUAAUGGCUUACCAAGGCUACGACGGGUAGGGGAUCUGAGAGGAUGUCCCCCACACUGGAACUGAAACACGGUCCAGACGCCUACGGGUGGCAGCAGUGAGGAAUAUUGGACAAUGGGCGAAAGCCCGAUCCGGCAACGCCGCGUGGAGGAUGAAGGCCCUUCGGGUCGUAAACUUCUUUAGAGGGAGACGAGAAAGGACGGUAUCCCUAGAAUAAGCGACGGCAAACUACGUGCCAGCAGCCGCGGUAAU